RNAcentral lists this long non-coding RNA (364 nucleotides) under Panax ginseng (ginseng). RNAcentral's name for it is "long non-coding RNA (PGIN_LNC009673)". The record is from RNAcentral. Lineage: Eukaryota; Viridiplantae; Streptophyta; Magnoliopsida; Apiales; Araliaceae.
UUGCAAUUAACGUUGAGAUUCGUCGCGCCAAGGCUCGGUUGCUUGAUGAAGUCCCUAAAUUGCAGAGACUGGCACCAAGGUUUUGAAUUACUUCUAGGUACUUUCUCAUGCUCUGGAUCGUACAUUAGGGGCUAGGUAUGAGAUUUAGGGUUGGGUUUGAGAGAUUUGGGGCUGAAUUUGGGCUGGGUAUGAGAAAUAAGAGAUUUAGGGGAAUUGAGAGGGAUCGAGUUGUUUGGGGGGAUUGAGUUGGCUCUGUGUGUGUAAGAUCAUAGAGAAGAGAGAUAGAGGGUUUGAAAUUUCAAUACGAAGGAAUGAGAGAGAGAGCUGGCUAAUGUGUAACUUGAUGUGACAUUUAUGUUUUCUC